AGGGAUGUAGCUCAGCAGUAGAGCACUUGCCUAAUAUGUAUGAGGCCUGAGUUCAAUCCAUAGUAUCACCA
This 71-nucleotide transfer RNA is filed under the name Fukomys damarensis (Damara mole-rat). It matches the Rfam family "tRNA". From Rfam's summary of the family: Transfer RNA (tRNA) molecules are approximately 80 nucleotides in length. Their secondary structure includes four short double-helical elements and three loops (D, anti-codon, and T loops). Further hydrogen bonds mediate the characteristic L-shaped molecular structure. tRNAs have two regions of fundamental functional importance: the anti-codon, which is responsible for specific mRNA codon recognition, and the 3' end, to which the tRNAs corresponding amino acid is attached (by aminoacyl-tRNA synthetases). tRNAs cope with the degeneracy of the genetic code in two manners: having more than one tRNA (with a specific anti-codon) for a particular amino acid; and 'wobble' base-pairing, i.e. permitting non-standard base-pairing at the 3rd anti-codon position. The record is from Rfam by way of RNAcentral. Lineage: Eukaryota; Metazoa; Chordata; Mammalia; Rodentia; Bathyergidae.